GAAACCAGCUUACGAGGUCCAGGCCGGCGUCCGGGUGCACUACAGGCCCCCCGUCCCUCCUUCCCCAGGCCAGCCCCUCGCUCCGGAUUGGUCCUUCAGGAAACGCUGUGGGGCGUCUCGGUCCCCGCUGCGGAGCCGGCCUAGGCUGGAGGGCGGGGUUUGCCCUGGGCCGCUGCCGGUCAGGUCGGCCGCCCCUGACAGCUCCGGGAGCCUCAAGCGCGACAGCGGCGCCCUCACCUCGGGACAUCCACACACCGACCGCUCCUGCUCCAGAGGCAACCACCCAGCGCGCCUAGCCUGGCGCCGUGCAGCGAAGCCCAAGAGCUGGCCUCGCCACGAAGAGAUGGGGUCUCACUGUGUUGCCUAGGCUGGUCUUGAGCUCCUGGACUCAAACCAUCCACCCAUCUCGGUCUCCCAAAGUGCUGGGAUUAUAGGUGUGAGCCACCACAACCAGCCUAUUUUCUUUUUAAAGGAUGAACCAGCCAAAUUUUCAAGACAGCUCACGGCUUAGAGGAAGGUUCAUCUAAAUAAAGGCCGGCUAAAGUGACAUUGCAGGGAUUAAAUCCUUCUUUGGCUGCCUGUGUGACCAGAAGGCUUAUUUGCAAGUUUCUUCUUUCCUGGGGUCCAGAUUAUUAGGUCUCCAGCGCCCUGCAGCUUGACAGAAAGAGAAGCAUGAAAUGAAGGUCAGAGAUGAGAUCCCGCGGCAGGGACUUGGGGGCCU
RNAcentral lists this small RNA (721 nucleotides) under Pan troglodytes (chimpanzee). RNAcentral describes it as "processed transcript". The record is from RNAcentral. Lineage: Eukaryota; Metazoa; Chordata; Mammalia; Primates; Hominidae.